CGCGUAGGCGGUCUGAUAAGUCAGUUGUGAAAGCCCGGGGCUCAACCCCGGAAGUGCAAUUGAAACUGUCAGGCUUGAGUAUGGUAGAGGGAAGUGGAAUUCCUGGUGUAGCGGUGAAAUGCGUAGAUAUCAGGAGGAACACCGGUGGCGAAGGCGGCUUCCUGGACCAAUACUGACGCUGAGGCGCGAAGGUGUGGGUAGCAAACAGGAUUAGAUACCCUGGUAGUC
RNAcentral lists this ribosomal RNA (228 nucleotides) under uncultured bacterium. RNAcentral describes it as "partial 16S ribosomal RNA". It matches the Rfam family "Bacterial small subunit ribosomal RNA", at positions 568 to 795 of the family's 1533-position model. The record is from RNAcentral.